RNAcentral lists this unclassified non-coding RNA (327 nucleotides) under rhizosphere metagenome. RNAcentral describes it as "partial ribosomal RNA internal transcribed spacer region". The record is from RNAcentral.
GUAGGUGAACCUGCGGAAGGAUCAUUAUCACAUGAAUCCAUGUAUAAACCAUUGUGCAUCGUCACCCCCUCUGGAUCGCUUGAAAUCGGAAACGAGAGAAACGUUAUAACGGUCACUAUUGUAAUUUGAAGACCCAGUUUCUCUCCAGGAUUCGUCCGCUGAUUUCUAACUUAUGAUCUAGAGUGUAAUUCAAAUUUACAUAACUUAUUGAUUAACAAUUGAAACCCCUUUUAAACUUUUGAACUAAUGUUUUCAUACUCCAAUAAAACGGAGAUGAAAUUCUUACGAAACAAAGAACAACUCUUAGCAACGGAUAUCUUGGUUCUC